Molecule: long non-coding RNA, 531 nt
Organism: Strongylocentrotus purpuratus (purple sea urchin)
Lineage: Eukaryota; Metazoa; Echinodermata; Echinoidea; Camarodonta; Strongylocentrotidae
Exons: 3
Source: RefSeq, a predicted model, not a curated record
CGUCAGUUUGAGACGUGGACGGCUACGAACUUGCCAGAGUUGACGGGGACAAUGAUUACUUCUAACAUGACAAAGCCGUUUUUCAGAGAGCUGGCGAUGGACAAGGAUGAUAAGAAUAGAACUCCACGUUACUGGUCAAGAUGACAAGCUAAUCCAUUGAGUUUGAUAUAGUUCAAUGGUCAUGUUCAAUGCGAGCGUCUUUGAUCAUUAUCUGGUAUAAAUACCAACAGCCUUCACUGGAUCUGCAGACUUGUCUCACAGAAUUUCGCCAUUCUUCAACACGAUUCUGCAAUUAUACACAUUUCAAUCCACCAUGAACAUUGACUUUGAGCACCCGUCGAUGUACGGUGCAGUACGCUACAGGUGCGUAUGUCGGACGAAAGCCAUAGGACAAGAACGAUGUAAGAGAAAAAGUCGCCAUGCCACAAAAACGUGUUGGCAACACAAGGCCGAGCUGACGUACGAAGAGUAAGUUUCUUCCCGCUUUUCAUUUAGUUUAAUUCCUUCAUGUUUUUCUGUUUUUCUUUCAUU